This 492-nucleotide ribosomal RNA is filed under the name uncultured bacterium. RNAcentral describes it as "partial 16S ribosomal RNA". It matches the Rfam family "Bacterial small subunit ribosomal RNA", at positions 29 to 507 of the family's 1533-position model. The record is from RNAcentral.
AGUGAACGCUGGCGGUAGGCCUAACACAUGCAAGUCGAACGGCAGCACAGUAAGAGCUUGCUCUUACGGGUGGCGAGUGGCGGACGGGUGAGGAAUACAUCGGAAUCUACUUUUUCGUGGGGGAUAACGUAGGGAAACUUACGCUAAUACCGCAUACGACCUACGGGUGAAAGCAGGGGAUCUUCGGACCUUGCGCGAUUGAAUGAGCCGAUGUCGGAUUAGCUAGUUGGCGGGGUAAAGGCCCACCAAGGCGACGAUCCGUAGCUGGUCUGAGAGGGUGAUCAGCCACACUGGAACUGAGACACGGCCCAGACUCCUACGGGAGGCAGCAGUGGGGAAUAUUGGACAAUGGGCGCAAGCCUGAUCCAGCCAUACCGCGUGGGUGAAGAAGGCCUUCGGGUUGUAAAGCCCUUUUGUUGGGAAAGAAAAGCAGCAGGUUAAUACCCCGCUGUUCUGACGGUACCCAAAGAAUAAGCACCGGCUAACUUCGUG